This 23-nucleotide transfer RNA is filed under the name Merremia caloxantha. Its description in RNAcentral is "partial tRNA-Leu". The record is from RNAcentral. RNAcentral also lists the same sequence under 1 other name. Lineage: Eukaryota; Viridiplantae; Streptophyta; Magnoliopsida; Solanales; Convolvulaceae.
UUCAAGUCCCUCUAUCCCCAAGA